Molecule: long non-coding RNA, 1244 nt
Organism: Vicia villosa (hairy vetch)
Lineage: Eukaryota; Viridiplantae; Streptophyta; Magnoliopsida; Fabales; Fabaceae
Exons: 7
Source: RefSeq, a predicted model, not a curated record
CCUCACCGAACUCUCACCUGCUCACCCUCACCGAACUCUCACCUGCUCACCCUCACCCUCCAUUCUUUUCUCCAAAAAUAGGAUUUUAAUUUAAAUCGUGGCAUCUCUUAAAAUUUCUCUGUGAAACCCUAGAUAUCACAAAGGACCUUUAUUCCGCCACAAUCGAACACCAUGGAAGUCGAUAAACACGUUCUCAAAAACUUUCAUAUCACAGCCCUAAAACGCAUUUUCCUUCAAUCUUCUUUUGAUCGGUGGGAUUUUCUAUAAAGGGAAAAGAAGCAUGAGGUUGACCCAUGAACGACUUUGAAGGAUCUCAUUCUCACAAGGCCUCCAUGUCGGCGUCCACCACAAAUUAAUCAUUGUCAUCGUCAUUUGCAUUUCUCAAUGGACUCCUCCUGCAUGACAAAUAACCAGAAGUCUAGAACAUGACAGAAUCUGACUCUACACAUGCUGCUAGAAGGAACAUGCAUGUAGAACCUGAAAGAACACUAAUUGAUGCACAGACGGAUGAGUUUGAGAACAUUCUACAUUCUUUAACAUUAGAGAGAAGUAUGAUAAAGGUGAUUACGUGGUUUUCUUUGGAUAACACCAAUGCAGCUAGCGAGUGUGAAGUUGGCGUGGGAGACUAAGGAUUGUUUCAUUUCAAGUUUUAUGUUUUAUAGAAACAUGGAGUGAUGGUAAGCCAAACUUUUAAUACAACCAUCGUUAGAGAAAGAAUUGCAUAACUUCUUGAUGUUGCUAAAUAUUACUUAGAUCAGUGAGGCAGAAUUUGGUAUGUCUUGGUGUGCUGGUUUGGAGGCUCAUUCUAUAAUUCUUAUUUUUGGCUUUCUUGUUUCAAGUUGAGGUAAUUCCUAAACAGCCAAGUGACUGAUUUGGUUCCACCAAGGUUUUUCGUGUGUAUUUCAGUUUUGGUGGCUCUUAGCACUGGGUGUCUCAAUACAAUAAGCAUGUAAACUGAUUCGGUUCUAACAAGGUUUUUCGUGUGUAUUUCAAUUUUGGUGGCUCUUGGUACUGUGUGUGUGUGUAGAGAGCAUGGUGCAUGUACACAUUGGCGUCGUAGGAUUCCUACAAUUAAAGAAAAUGUUUGCAGGUGUUAUGCUGUGUUUUUUCUUUAAAUUUUCUAGUAGCUUGUAAAUAAUAACUUAUGGUUCUCGACCAUGAUUGAUUCUUGUAAAUAAUAGAAAUAAAUGUAAUUAAAAUUUUAAUUGACACAAAUUGAUUUUACUAUGUAUUUUUUUGUUAUU